Molecule: RNA transcript, 985 nt
Organism: Trichoplusia ni (cabbage looper)
Lineage: Eukaryota; Metazoa; Arthropoda; Insecta; Lepidoptera; Noctuidae
Gene name: acanthoscurrin-1-like
Exons: 5
Source: RefSeq, a predicted model, not a curated record
CGAUAACAUACCUCCUUAGAGGCAGCAUAUAUUAUCUGUUAAUAUGUUUGUGUGUAUGUGUGCUCGCUUCGGCGACCUAUAAAAGUCAUUGGCAGGACAUCAUCGCACAGUAGAUCAGUGAUCAGUGCUAGUGCUAGACGGAGAUAAUUAAACAGACUAAAUCAACAUGAAACUGUGCACGAUUAUCUUUGGAGUGUUGGUGGCGUGUGUGGCGAGCCUCGCGGCUGAGAAUGGUCCUCUCCUGACUAUUCUGCAGCCUGAGGACCAGCAGGUUCAGCAGGUUCAAGAGGUCAUGCUCGUCGACCCCCAGGGAGUCAGACAGAAGAGGAGUCUCCUUCUUGGUGGUCUCGGCGCUGGUGCUCUCGGCAUUGGAGCUCUCGGUCUCGGUGCUGGCCUGGUCGGCGCUGGUCUCAUCGGUGCUAAGGCUGGAUUCAUUGGCGGUGCCAUCGCCGGCAAAGCUUUCUCCGGUAGAGGAUACGGCGGCGGCUACGGAGGUGGCUACGGACACGGCUACGGGGGCGGCUACGGGGGUGGCUACGGAUACUAUGGCGGUGGUGGCUACGGACACGGUGGCUACAAGCGUUACUACUACUAAACUCCUAUGACUAACACAAACAACUAAACCUAUGACACUAAUAUAUUCCAACACUUAUACACGGACCUACUCAAAAAAAAAACCAAAUAUUUAUCUGAUACAAAUAUCAAUAUCACAACUCCUAUUUGAUCACGAUACACGUACUUUGUACAUAAAACUCAGGAGGGGUUCCAAUGUACUCAGACGAACAGCCCAAGGUCUCGUUUGAGGAGAAAAAACCGAUUCAAAUAUAAGACAAGUCUACUACCAGCCUUCAUACGUAGUGUCUCAGGUGUCUGAACCCUGGUGCUGAGCCAAACGACUGAUUAGCCAACUGUUAAGAUGAUUAUUUAAGUGUAUGUGAUUAUGAAUGGAGUGAAUUUGUAUAAAACAAUAAAUUUUACAAAUUAA